UACGAAGGGGGCUAGCGUUGCUCGGAAUCACUGGGCGUAAAGCGCACGUAGGCGGCUUGUUAAGUCAGGGGUGAAAUCCUGGAGCUCAACUCCAGAACUGCCUUUGAUACUGGCGAGCUUGAGUUCGGGAGAGGUGAGUGGAACUGCGAGUGUAGAGGUGAAAUUCGUAGAUAUUCGCAAGAACACCAGUGGCGAAGGCGGCUCACUGGCCCGAUACUGACGCUGAGGUGCGAAAGCG
Molecule: ribosomal RNA, 238 nt
Filed under: uncultured bacterium
Lineage: Bacteria
Description: partial 16S ribosomal RNA
Rfam family: Bacterial small subunit ribosomal RNA
Source: RNAcentral